RNAcentral lists this transfer RNA (74 nucleotides) under Candidatus Omnitrophota bacterium. RNAcentral describes it as "Candidatus Omnitrophica bacterium tRNA-Gly". It matches the Rfam family "tRNA". From Rfam's summary of the family: Transfer RNA (tRNA) molecules are approximately 80 nucleotides in length. Their secondary structure includes four short double-helical elements and three loops (D, anti-codon, and T loops). The record is from RNAcentral. Lineage: Bacteria; Pseudomonadati; Candidatus Omnitrophota.
GCGGGCGUAGCACAGUGGUAGUGCUCUAGCCUUCCAAGCUAGCUACGCGGGUUCGAUUCCCGCCGCCCGCUCCA